Long non-coding RNA from Scylla paramamosain (green mud crab), 1531 nucleotides. RefSeq lists it as uncharacterized. NCBI's taxonomy places the organism in Eukaryota, Metazoa, Arthropoda, Malacostraca, Decapoda, Portunidae. The transcript is spliced from 5 exons. The record is from RefSeq and is a predicted model, not a curated record.
GUGUAGUGCUGAGAAAUUAAUUAUGUAUAUUUCUACUUUUUUUCCUAGGCUAGGGCCCAUGUAGUGUGCGGGGGUGACCAGAAUCUCAGUACCAUGUGACUAACCCCUCCCCUUCCCCUCCUCUCCUCAGUGUCCUUUUGUCCUUGCUUUCCCCCCCCCCUCUCAGCGUCACUGUGUUGACCACUUCUAUAACAAAUUUACCCCGUGAAUAAACGUAAUUUCUCCUGCUUGGCCAGGUUAUAGAGGCGAAUUUUUCACCUAAUCCCAGAGAAUGGGGAGCCCUUAAUAUGAUAAAAUUAAUUCUAUAAUGGUAAGGUCUUAAACCAGCCCAAACAAAUCCCAGAUAAUUACGCCGCGCCAAUGAGGUUGACGAAUCUGAUAAGUCUUCUUUGCUUCGCUGCCCUGUCACCCCUGUUGCUACGCAAGCCGGGAAGAGAUACCAGACUUUGACUAAUUCCCCAAUUGAUUUCAAAAGUCCAUUGAAUUAAACUUCUUAAAGUAACAACUAUAAAGUAAACAGUAACUUAAUUAUUCAUAUUUUUCAUCCCUGAACUCACAACCUAGUCGCCCCCCCCCCCACUAAAAACAAAAUUAUAACUUAAUAAAUUUCCCCAUUGGAAACCUUUAUCCUUAGUUUCCCGCCGAUUUCCUCACAAGCAAAGCCAGUCUCUCUCGGAUUCUCCUCAGGUGAGCAUGCAGUCUGAUAGUCUCCCCCUCCAUUCCUGUAAUAUUAAAUAAUGAGCUGUCCAAAAUGCCAGUUCCACAAAAAAAAUAAAGACACAGGCAUCUGAACUUCAUCCCACUAAAGUUGAUGAGAGAUGGGAGGUGCUUGGUAUUGACUUGUUCACUAAGUGGUUGGUAGUGUUUCCUCUAAAGGACAAGUCUGCGCCCAGCAUAGCGACAGCUAUAGUCGACAUGAUAUACACACAUGGUCCUCCUCUGAAGAUAAUUACAGACCAAGGAAGGGAAUUUAUUAAUGAAGUGAAUAAGAAUGUCCUUGGUCUCUUCAAUAUAAAGAACAUGAUGACCUCCGCAUAUCACCCUCAGACUAACAGACAGGAUGAGAGGACCAAUCAAACCUGCCAUUGCUAAGUUCUGCAAUGAAAAUCAGGAUGAUUGGGAUCAGCAAGUUUAAAGGUUCUUGAAUGCUGCAGUGUAUGGAAUAAACAUGAGUCGUCAGACAACCACCAAACGUAUCCCAUUCUUCCUGAUGUAUUUAUGUGUGGCCAGGGCUCCACACAUAAUAAAUACGCUACAUGGAAACUCAGCAGUGACACUUGGUGAAGAAAACACAGAAACACAAUCAAAUGCAGCCAUGGAUUUGUGUUUACAAAUUACCAAAACUGUGAAAGAAAACAUAGAGAUCACAAAAGAAAAUGAAAGUUGAGUAAGCUGAGAGAAAGAAGAAGGGUGUGAAAACCUUUGACUUUUCUGUUGGUGUUAAGAGGAGAAACAACAGAAAGCAAGAAAGAAAGGGGGACAGACUUCAAAAGAAAUGGCUGGGUCCCUUCAUCAUCAGAGAAAUUUCUGA